Long non-coding RNA from Teleopsis dalmanni, 694 nucleotides. RefSeq lists it as uncharacterized. The transcript has 4 exons. NCBI's taxonomy places the organism in Eukaryota, Metazoa, Arthropoda, Insecta, Diptera, Diopsidae. The record is from RefSeq and is a predicted model, not a curated record.
AACAGUGGAUAUUUAUUUUUAUAUAUCCUUUAAAAAGUGCAACUUUUUUGGGACUUUCUUCAAAAUCGUACAGUUUUUUCCUGCUCUCAUAUAGGAAGAACAGAAAAGGCAAUGCUCACGCUAAUUGCUUACCUAUGCUUUCAUGGUGACAAAACCCCGAAGAAGAGAUGUGUUAAACGCCCCUCACCACCGGCUCCACCACCACCACCUGAAUAAAUAUUUAUUAAACACAGUUUAACAAUAGGUCCUUGUUAUUUUAUAAAGAUAUCUCCAAGGAUCAGCAAGACCUAACUACUCAAUUCUUUUAUUAGCCUGGGUAGAAAAUUUUAGAAGUUACUUAAAAUUUUGCAAUGGUUUAUUUAUGUGAUGUUGUGCUUGUACUGAAAAAAAUUAUUGUUUGGAAUUUGUAUAUCUAUGUUAUAACGUCAAACUGUUUGGAAAGAAGCUUUUCUAUUCUGAAACUUGUCGAAGAAACUGUCAAAAAAAGGAGUACUGCUGGUUGUACUAUAAUGGAUUAGUAAUGGUACAUUCAUUUCGGUUAACGAGGUGUAAGCAGAGCAAGUGUUUGAUGCUAUAUAUAUAAGCGCUUCCCAGUGUAUGACUUAUAACGAAAUUGACGUAUACAAUUGACUGCAUGAAAUUUGUUUUUUCUAUUGACAUAUUUUUAAAAAAUAUAUUUCAAUUGCAAAUAUAA